GCAGGCUGAAAUUACGCCUGCAUGAAGCCGGAAUUGCUAGUAAUGGCAGGUCAGCAUACUGCCGUGAAUACGUUCCCGGGCCUUGUACACACCGCCCGUCACACCAUGAGAGUUGGGGAUACCCGAAGCCUGUGAGCCAACAAUAUAUUGAGGCAGCAGUCGAAGGUAGAAUCAAUGAUUGGGGUGAAGUCGUAACAAGGUAGC
This 204-nucleotide ribosomal RNA is filed under the name uncultured bacterium. Its description in RNAcentral is "partial 16S ribosomal RNA". It matches the Rfam family "Bacterial small subunit ribosomal RNA", at positions 1300 to 1500 of the family's 1533-position model. The record is from RNAcentral.